AACGCACAUUGCGCCCCUUGGUAUUCCGAGGGGCAUGCCUGUUCGAGCGUCAUUAUAACCACUCAAGCCUCGGCUUGGUAUUGGGGUUCGAGGUUUCUCGGCCCUUAAAAUCAGUGGCGGUGCCAUCUGGCUCUAAGCGUAGUAAUUUUUCUCGCUACAGGGUCCGGGUGGUUACUUGCCAAAAACCCCCCAUUUUUUAAGGUUGACCUCGGAUCAGGUAGGGAUACCCGCUGAACUUAA
Molecule: unclassified non-coding RNA, 240 nt
Filed under: Ardhachandra sp.
Lineage: Eukaryota; Fungi; Ascomycota; Eurotiomycetes; Chaetothyriales; Herpotrichiellaceae
Also listed under: 1 other name
Description: partial contains 5.8S ribosomal RNA, internal transcribed spacer 2, and large subunit ribosomal RNA
Rfam family: 5.8S ribosomal RNA (bases 1-52)
Source: RNAcentral